CAGGACUUCUGCGUGGCCGACCUGACGGGCCCACAGACCCCGUCAGGGUACACCUGCAAGCCCCCGGCCAACGUCACCGCCGAAGACUUCGUGUUCACCGGCUUCCGCAAGGGCGGCAACACCACCAACAUCAUCAAUGCCGCUGUCUCACCGGCCUUUGACGCGCAAUUCCCGGGCCUAAACGGGCUGGGCCUGUCCAUAGCCCGCCUCGAUUUGGCCCCUGGGGGUGUGAUCCCAAUGCACACCCACCCAGGGGCCUCUGAGGUAAUCCUGGUCGUCCAGGGUUCCUUAGUAACCGGAUUUGUUUCUUCCGCGAACGCUGUUUACGUGAAGAAGCUUCUCAAGGGGGAUAUUAU
RNAcentral lists this long non-coding RNA (356 nucleotides) under Erythranthe guttata (spotted monkey flower). RNAcentral describes it as "long non-coding RNA (EGUT_LNC000005)". Lineage: Eukaryota; Viridiplantae; Streptophyta; Magnoliopsida; Lamiales; Phrymaceae. The record is from RNAcentral.